This 17439-nucleotide long non-coding RNA is filed under the name Lathyrus oleraceus (garden pea). RNAcentral's name for it is "Pisum sativum (pea) long non-coding RNA (PSAT_LNC037166)". Lineage: Eukaryota; Viridiplantae; Streptophyta; Magnoliopsida; Fabales; Fabaceae. The record is from RNAcentral.
GAGGUGGAAGAGUUGUUGUGGUGUUUUGUUGGAGGAGAGUGAGUCUAUGUGGUGUAGUUGAAGUGAGAGAGGUUCAGAGUCGGAUAGAGAUUCUUGUUCUGAUUCUUGUGGCCAUGAGAGGGUUGAAGGGUUAGGGAGAGAGUGAAUAGGUAGAGUUUGGGUUUGGAAAAGAGUGGUGGUGGUGGUGGAUGAGAGUGUGAAGGAGAUAGCUAAUAAUAGGAAGAGAAGGGUUCUUUUGUUGUAGUUCUCUUCCAUUGUAGUGAGAGUGAAGAGAAAAGAGUGUGAUAUGAGAGUAGUAGAAAUGGUGAAUAAAUAAGUAGUGGUACUAGUAGUAAGUAAUAAUUGAAUGAGAAGAGAGUGAGAGUGAGGUUCGGUGCGGUUGUGUUGAAAUGAGUGUGGGGUGGCUGAGUCAGUGCAGUGAUUGUUGUCUAACCAUAUUAGAUUACAUUACCCGUGUAAAAAUGAAUUAUUAUUAUUGCGUGUAGUUGGGUAAGGUUGGUGUUGUUGGGGUAGAGCUGGAUAUCAUUACCAGUAAUUGCUUUGCCUUUAUUGUUAUUCUAGAUAGACGGGUGAGUUAUGUUAUGGAGAAUCUUUCAUUGCUUCUUGCAAUUAGUUAUGGUAAGUAGUUACACUACCAACAAGUGGCCAAUGUCCAAUUUGCUACUACUAUGUGGCCAAUGCCCCAUGCAUUUAGUGAAUUUCUAUUCAAACUAAAUUUUGUAACUAGUUUCUUACGUUUGUUCAGAAUACUAAGUUUGUAAUUUUUAUCACUAAAGUAACAUUAAAUAUCGUUAAAAAUGUGUUAAGAAAAUAUUAUUAAUAGAUAAUUUUAUCUCUAAUGUGGCAUCUCUUUUAUUUUCUUAUAAUAUUAAACUAAUUAUUAUAGUUAUAUAAUCUUUCUGUUGAGAUAAUCAUUUAAAUUUAAAUUUAAAUUUUGCAAUUCAAAACAAAAAUUAAUAGUCAAGCGGAAACUUCUGAUAGUUGUAAGUGGAAAAAAAUAUUUUGUAAUUGAUAAAAAAAUAAUUAAUAUUUGGAUAAUUUUUUCGAAGGGAAUCAGAUGAAACCAUAAAACCAUAGAAAUUAAGUGUUUGAGAGGUUUUUUUUUACAAGAGAGGAAUGUCCAUCAUUUUUGUGGUCUUUCAAGUUCUUCUUUGUAUCCGUGUCACCCCUUUUGAUCAGUGUCACCCCUUUUGAUAUUCUCUUUGGAAUCUCUUAUGUAAUUCUCCUUUCAAUCCUUUUUCUUUGACUUUUUCUAUAAUGAGAUACCCCUACGCUUCCUAUGCUUGAAUUCUCAAGGAAAUGUAUGUCGUCUCACUAAUGACUACUAAUCAUGAGUUGCAACAGUUCAAACAUCAAUUUUGUAACCUCUAUGUGACCCUGUUCGCACGGGUUUUUGGGCGAAGAAUCUCUAACCUCCUAUUGAGGUUUACUUGCAGGAUCAGCUACAAAAUCCUAGACUAAGUGUUAAGUUUAUGAGAUGUUUUAUUUAAAUGUUUGGAUUAAGAAAACAAUAGACACGAAAUGCAUGUAAAAGGUGCAAUUAAAAUAGAUGGACGAAAGACAAGAUAAACCGUAAAUGGCAAAGUAGAUAAAAAGACUUGGUAAUUUAAAUUGCUUGAAGGUAAAUGUGGACGCAAUCAUACAUUUUCGUAGGAAUGAACUUUUUUCUCUAAAUGCUUGAUACUUUGAGUGUUUUCCCUCUACAAUGUUACAAAUGCGACCUUUAAAACUAACAAUGAACUUUGCUUAAAUAGGAAAUAAAAUUAACUUCUAUUUCGCUCUUGAUGAUUAAUAGCUUGACAUGUGUUUGUCCACUUACUUUAUAACUUCUCACGUUCUUACUAUUUUCAAAUCUUACCCACGUAAACUGUCAUUUGCUUCGACUUCGACCUGCACAUUUUCUAUCUGUCGGACCUAUUUCAACUUGGCCUGUGUUCCAUAUUCGUCUUGUCUGUCGAACCCCUUCGACCAUGUUCACUCUUCUCGACGCUUCGUUUUGUGAUUCCAUACUUCUCGCUUCGAUUUUCCUCUUUUGCUUAGUCAAAAUUUGUUGGCUAACAAAUUUCCCCUUAAAAGGCCAGUUUCGAUUGAGAAACUUGGCGUUUUGUCUUUCCCAAUUUCGACUGGGUGUCUAAUCGUUGUUGAUAUCAUGCGCAAUGACGAAACCUUUAUGUGCCAUGAUUUCUAAGGGGAGAUAUCAUCAUUUGCAGUUACUUCCUAGGUCGUGGAUUUUCAACCACCUUUAUUAACUUUCCACUAUAGUAGAAACUGAACAUUUUUUUACCCUAGACUGUCUCUUGGUUGGCCUCAACUUUUGCUUACAAAUACCAUUCUUUCACAUUUUUUGUUUUCCUUCUUCUCUGUUUGCGUAUAUUUUUCUAUAACUUUCAGAACAAUAAUACUUUCCUCAUUUCCCUUCUUUCUUCCAUUAAAGUGGCCUCUUCUGCUAACGCUAUGGAUGCAGUCACCUAUAACACUGGUAACAACCCCGUUGCUUUCAACCUCACUGAAGAAGAAAUUCUAAAACCCAUUCCUCAACCAGCAUCUACUAACGAAGUUGUAGUAGAGAUUUGACAACGUCAAAUGCUCAUUCCCUUUGUUGUUGCUGAUAAAUUCCUCGCUUUCCACGAGCCAUAUCGAAAUACAAAAAUGCAAUUGAAAAACGUCCAAUCAUACUUUCCUUGCUUUACUCCAGCUGUUCCACCGGCCUUUGAGAAGAAUGGUUCCAUCGACCUGAAGUUCAUGGACCCAAAGGCCAGGGUUUUUAGGUCGAUGCCCACUCUUGGUAACAAAGAGUAUGUGGCUUGGCUCAACAAAUUCCAAAACAAACGUCAGGAAUAAUGGAAAACGGUUGGCAUCUUCGACUCCAUCCAAAUUUCGAGGAACCCCAUCGAAUCAACCCAUGUAUGUUACUUGCUUCGAUGUACUUCUGGGAAGGUUCGACUAACACCUUACAACUCCCUUAUGGCAUGUUUACGCCUACCCUUUUCGACAUGGCAGCCAUCACUGGUCUCUCAUCUCUGGGCGAAACCUUCGACCCAACUCUUUUGACGGAAAACAGUUUUGCCUUCAAUCGUGCAAGUUUUUAGAAUUACAUUGAAAAUCACUAUGAUCAGGACUCCACUGAAGUGUCCGACGAGGAACACAUUGCUUUCCUAACUCUCUAGCUCUCAUAUUAUUUGUUUUGUCAUGGCUCUCUAUAGAUAGCUAAGAGCUAUAUAAGCUUGGAGAUCCAAAAUCAUGAAGGUAGAUUGGUCUCUUUGGGCAAGCUUCUGCUAGCAUCUCUUUACCACUAUCUAGGGCUUACGACACUGAAGCUAAAGUUUCUCCACUCUACUUCUAAGGCCUUAAAUAUGUCUGGCCCUAUGUGGUGCUACAACACUAGCUAAAUGCCACUUUCGAGUAUCGGUUGGGUUAUCUUGUGUCGGUGUGUAUGAUGCGUUUGACCCAGGAUCAGCCUAUAGAAGGUGUAAGACUUGCCUUGAUGAUAUGUCAGGAGACCCCCUACAAACAUAUUUUCACGAAGUACAUUAAUAUGUUCAUUGAAGCCACCUCUUUUGUUCUAGGCAUGGCCCCUUUUGUGGAUAGAAACUUUGGUCUAACAUGGUUCAAAAACCUUUUUCCUGGUGACUCUCCAUAAGCUGUAGCACUGCCGAACACUGUGUGGAUGGCAUUUCUGACUCCCACAAUGUUGUCCUUUAGGAUAAAGAAUGGGUCGAAGGGGUAUGGAUUUAUGAACUAUCAGUCCAACUUGGUGGCUCAACAAUUUGGCUUGAGUGAGAUGCUGCCAAAAUCUUUGGUGUAUCAAUUAACUGAUAUUGUGUGGGCUGGUCAACAACUAAACUUUAAAGGUCACAAAGCUUGCCUUAAAUUUCACAAAUCGACUCAGCACCUUGAGUUACCCGUUUUCAAAUUUCACCAAUCAUUCUUAACGACCAAGGACUUCAACAAGUAGUGGUCUGAAUACCAACACAAGUAUUUCCCCAAUGCACUCUUCCUCCAAAAUUUGAUUGACGUUUUUUCUGCCCUUGCUGGUGAAACACUGGCUUCACAGCCGAAUACUGACGCUCCCGUCGAGAACAUACAAACUAUUGAUGCCGAUGAGGACCAACCAAAGAAGGUUAAUAUUGCUUUAUUUCCUUUCCUUUCUUUAAGAAGCAAAACCCACUUACCUUCUCUGUAUUUGUUUUCUAGGGUCGAAAGCGGGCUCCAGUUGCUGCGCCAUCUACUCCGUCCACUUCGGCAAGAAAGAAAAAGAAAGUUCCAGCCAAGAAACCAUCUUUAAAAACUCUUUCUUUGACUACAAAGAUUUUUGUCUCUGACGUUCUUAUUGAGAUCUUUAAACCCAUUGGUCAAGAAGAACCUAUUCCAACUUCCCCAAAACACGUAACUCCCGAGGUAUUUGAACAUUCUUGUUUGGUAACCUCAUGAAUUAUUCCUCGAUAUUGAUCCUAACUUCUUUUUGUAGGGAAAAACGGCUGAUUCGACUCUAUAAGACCCUAAUUUUGAUCCUAAGAUCCCUCAUGUUAUCUCAUCGUAUGCAUUGGGAUCACACUUUGGCAUUCUCCUUACCCCUCAUUCAUUAGGUUUGCAUUGGGAGAGAUCACCAAGCACAUUUUAUUGUAUCAUACUUCAUUUUUCUUUGUUUACUAACCAAAAUACCAAAAAUAUGUCAUUUGUAUAGAUUAACUCUUUUGUAGGUGGUGUGCAUGCUCACCUAUGCUCUAUCAAGCUCAUAUCUAGGGUUUAACACCCUCAUUGCAAGGAGCUCAAUCAAUAAUUGGUCUAUAUUGGCUCUAAUUAUCAUAUAUGAAUCCCCAUGAUCUUCACAUGUCAUUUUUAUCAAGAAACCAUCAAGAGUUGGGGGUUUUGUUUGCCUUGGAAACCCUAAUUCAUCUGGGUAUCUUGUGUGACUUCUUCAACAAAUUUCUCCAAUAAUUGAUCAAAUAUUCCAAGGUAUACUUCACAUUACAUCAUCUUAUGCAUAUAUGAUCCUCCAUGAGUCCCAAAAGUCAAGAGAAUGUCAAGCUAGCAAAUUGGUUCAUGGUGGUUGACCAGGGAAAGUUAACUGAUCAAAAUUGGGGUUCCCUGGACCCUAUCUCCUACAACUUUUGUCAUAUGAAAAUGAUUCCAAGAUCAAAGUUACUCUAAGUGACAUUUAAAACAACUUUCAGGUUGAGGUCAAGAUCUAAUUUUUCCUGGAAGGUCAUUUUUUAUGGUGAAAGAUUAUAGGGCAUUUUGUCUAAACCCUAAUUUAGAAGUCAACUUCUCAAGACCAUAACUUACUCAAUUUUCAUGAGAUGAAAGCCAAUAAAAUUUCAUAAUCAAAUUCAAGAUGUCUAAGUCAACUUUUAUGUUUGGAGGAAGUGCAAAUUCAACUUGCAAAUGCAUGUGCAAAGAGGAAACAUUAUAGGUCAUUUUGGGCCAAUACCAUUGAACAAGUGAUUUUCCUCAACUUCUAAAAUGCAUAACGCCUCCAUAACAAAUCCAAAUGAGGCCAAAUUUGUCACAAAAUUGAAUAGGUUUGAAAUAACUAUAACUUUGAUGAAGCAACCUUUCUCAUUUUAAGUUCAUAGAAAAAGUUAUUCAAGGUGGAAGAAGUGAACAUUUGACUUGGGACUUAGAAAUUUUUCAAAUAUGUUUGAUUUCUGAAACUUCCACCUCAAAAUUCAUCAUGAUCCAAGCUUCAAAUUAAAAAGUGUUUAACAUGAAAGUUGUUCCCCUUGAUCUCACCAUUCCAAAACAUCCAAGAUGAUAUCAUUUGGACCAAAAUUGAAGGACUUGCACAUGGUUUCAUUAUGGGAAGUGUUUUGGCAAGAUUGAACUUCACAUGAUCAUUUCCAUUUGCAUGUUUGCACAUGAUGGUUUCAGCAGACUUUGUACAUGAUUUGGAAGUGGAUUGCAUCACUCUUGAGGCCCAAAUGAUUGCUCAUGCACCCAUGCAAGGAAGUUGCUAAUUUUGUCCAAUUUUCAAGUGGUGCAAAUAUCAAACACAUUGCCUAUUUAAACAAGCUUAAGGCUUCAGAUUCAUGAUCAACACCUUGCCCAAGCUUUGUUAGACCUCUGCAAACCCUCACUGCCAUAGAAUUUUCUAAGAUUUCUUUUGAAAUCUAGCUUGAACUUCACCUUUUGUUUGGAAGUUAAAACCCCAGAAAGCAAUCAAAUCCAGAUCAAGAUCAAGUGAAAUUGGAUCAACUCGAAUGUGAUUUUUCAGAAAUUUCUCCUCUUCGAUUCUAUUUUAUUUAUCCACUAUUCUUGUUGAUUUUUGGUUGUCUGAAGUCCUACCAAUGUAGGCAACAAGAUUGAGUUCUUUGAGGUCAAAUCGAAGCAACUCAGUUCAUGAUCCUCAAAAUUCAACUCCCUGUAUCUUUUCAUAUACUUGGAAUUUGAUAAAAUUGAGGCCAAAUUCAAAUUCAUGAGCAUUUUUUUCUUUAAAUCCAUGUCUUGCUUUUUCAUUUUGGUGAUGGUUGAAGGUGGACCAGUCUGGUGAGGUCCACCGGAGAAGAAGAUCGGAGCUCUGUCUCCGGCGAUGUGUUGGAAGCAUCUCAACCAUAGGAUCCAUUCAAAUUAUUUUAAUCUUGAGCGUUGUUUCUAAUUACCAAGCGUGCAUCUUAGUUGACCCAUACCUUUGUGGAACGCGCGCUUUGGACCAUCUGAUCUGCCACCUCAAUUAAUGGGGGAGAUCAGAUGGUCCACGUAUUUUUGAAUUUUUGAAUUUUCAUUUUUAUUGCUUUAUUUUCAUUAAUUCAUAUUAAUUUCAUUAUUGAUCCAAAAAAUACGGGACUUUCACCAAAAAAAAUCAAAUGUUUGUCUCUUUUAUUUUCUGAAUUAAAAUUAUCUUUUGGAUCAAUAUUGGUAUUUUUUAUGAUUUAAUUGUUUUUGUGCAUAUUUUUAAUUGUUUAGAAAUACUUUUGACUUUUCAAAAAUAGUGAAAAAAUUUCUCCAAGGUCCUUUGACCUUGUUUGACCUAUGAUAAAUCUCUUGGCCAUUUAUUUCGUGUUUUGAAGAGGUUUUAGGUUUUUGAUAAAACAUAAUUUAAUUUAAUGCAUUUUAAUUUGAUUUUUAUUUGUUUAAAUUGUGAAUAAAUUGUGUUGAGUCAUUUUUAUUGACUUGUGGAGUUUGACUAUUGUGUUUGGGCCUUGGUUAAUGUUGAUUUGACUUUUGUUGGAUUAAAAUCAUUGGAUUUAGGGGAUUGAUGAAAUGUACAUUUCAUCUCCCAAAAUGAAUGAAUGAUUUUAAUUUGAUAAAAUUUCUCCCAUGACCAAUUUGUGUUUGAUUUUGUUGGAUUAAAAUCAUUGGAUUUAGGGGAUUGAUGAAAUGUACAUUUCAUCUCCCAAAAUGAAUGAAUGAUUUUAAUUUGAUAAAAUUUCUCCCAUGACCAAUUUGUGUUUGUCUCAUUCCCCCUCCCUCUUCAUCUUCAAUCCCUUUCUACCCCAUUCCUCUCAUUGGCCAAUGACAUCUCAAUAUCCCAAGGCUAAUUUAUUCAUGAACCAAUACAAGUAUGGAUGAGAUUGGGUCCACCAUUUAAUCAUUUUCUUUUUUGUGUGUGGUAUGUUUUAGGAGUAUGAUUUAUUAUACCAUAUCUCUAACAUGCAUUAACACCAAAAAAUUUAUUGCCCGACCUCAGAUAGUUGUGACUUCUACAUAAGUCCAAUUACGAUUGCUUAACAUAGCGCUAAAUUUUGAUCCAAAAGCAUAGCAUUCUAAUAAGUGAGAUUGUAAGUCUCCCCCCUUUCAUGGUAUUGUGUGGAAACUUGGUCUUUUUUCCUUCCUUUGGAAGAUAUCUUGGUUCAAGGAUCCAUGCUUGUGAAUAGAGGGUUGAGUGUUCUCCAAAGAAUGACUUAAACAAUUGAAAAGUAAAACUCCACUAACUUCUAAUCAACUAACCCUUGACUAACUCUUUAAUUUCAAGUCAUUUACUUUAUGCACUUUAAAUUCAAGCCAUUUAUCAUUUGUCAUUAUACAUAUCAUUUAACCUGUUUAUUUUUAAUGUCAUUUUCACUUUGCUCACUUAAGCCAUAGAUUGUGAUUGUAUAUAUUUGUUUGUUUAUCUUGUUUGUGUGUGUGGUCUUAGGACCUUAAAAUACUCAAUAAACAACAAAAAUCCUAAAAAUAUUUGUGUGGACUGUUGGAUUUAAUCUGAGCAUUGGACUUAGAAUUAGGCAACAUUCCCUAUGCAAAAGGACUUGGCCAAUGCCAACAUUUCUGAAACCAAGUCAUUAUGAUGUGAGCUUUCAUCUAAUGUAAGUUUUGGGAUCCACUUGAGUUCAUCUGCAACUUGGUAUUGAUGAAAAUGUUACUUUGAAUCUGUGUCUAAUGCUUUAUUCUGAGUCAUUCAAGGAGUAUGCCAUCUGAUACACGGGAGCUUAAGAAGAAGACUAUGAAGUUGCUAGCUUGGAUGUGGCUAUAUUUAUUUGAUGCAUUGCUCUUCAUAUUCCUUGUUUAUUGGUAUUUGUUUGAUUCUAAAGUCCAAAGGAAAAAUGGGUUUCUAUAUGACAUUCUUGUCUAUUGGAUUGCAUCCCAUUGGUCAGAUCUUUUCCACUCUUAACUUUUAAGUUUUUGCUUAGGACUAGUCUCUUCAUCUCCUCCCACUUCUUAAAUUUCAAAUCUCUCCCUCUUUUCAAAAAUCUUCUUUGCUUGUGAUUUUUAAACCUAGACCUUAUUGCAAACUAGAAACUUUGGCCUUAUACCAUUGCAUUUUUAAACUCUUUUCUUAAAUCAAAUUUGUAAGUGAAUCUAAUCAUAUUGACUUAAAAUUUCAAAAGACAAAAAGAACUAACACUCAUCCAAACUCUUUUAGGCCCUUUGUGCCUCUUUUUAAUUUAAAAUUUUAUUAAAUGCAAUUCACUCACUUUGAAAUUGAUACCAUAAACUACGAGGUUUUGAUCCCUCAUUUUCAUGUUGGUAUGUAGGCAUAAGUCUGAAGAUCUUGUCAAACACAAAAAUAUAAUUAAUGAGUUCUUUUCUCAUCUCCUCACUCUAUUUAUUGCAAACAUAAUUUUAUACUAAAACACAUGCACAUAUAAAAAAGGGCUUCCUAGGAGUACCUAUGACACUUUGGGUGCUAACACCUUCCCUCUGUGUAACCAACCCCUUUACCUGUAAUCUCUCGCAUUUUAUUAGUUUUGAUUUGAAAACUUCUUAUCUUUGGGUUUUGUUCGUACUUUUCCCUUUUCCUUUGGAAACAAUAAAAUCACGGUGGCGACUCUGGUUUUAUUGACGUUAAGUUUAUCCAUAACUUAAUGGUCAUGAAUUUACCGCUACAGACUCUUGCUGAGGCUAACAACAACGUAAGGGUCGAAACUGAGAAUCCAGCUGAGACUGCCACCCUUUUGAGUCCCCAAAAAAUUGAUGAGUUUCACGACACAUAUCAAAUUCAAGAUCCUUCAACCGCUGUUGGCAAAGGUAAUACAACCGCUACUAUUGGCGAAACCCUUUUGACUACUACUAGCAAUCUGAUUGGAAAAGAAAAAUCAAAUCCCCUAUCCUCUAAAAAAAUUCCCCCCUUGUGUAAGACAAAAGUUCCAAUGGUACUCUUUCUCUAGAGAAGAUUCUAUCUAUGAAGCAUCAGAAUCUAGCAGAGACAUUGAGAAGGCUAUAGAAGCAUCGCCAAGCAUCGACUGAUGUUCAACCCUCUGGCUCGACUGCCAUGCCUAUUCCAGAAAUGGAUGCUUCCGUCAUUCUCAAACUCCAACAGUGAAAAACCUAUUUGUUUGAGCGUGAAAUUUUGGUCGUCGUCGCAGAGGAAGAGGCCUUGGGGGUCGACGUCCUCAAGCUUCUUGACGAGCUUUCUCAACAUAAAGUUCCUGCUCCUGUGGCCAAAUAUCUGAUUGAAUUUGAAGCCUUCUUCACUCACCUUGUCAAAUACCUCACUCUUCAUCGGCACGUUGACUUCCAAAUUAAAACGAAGCUCAACGAGAUGAGACGAGAAUGGGACUUCAGCGAAAUUUAUGAAAGGAAACACAAUAAUUUUGAGACUAAGAAGCAAGAGCAUUUCAACUAACGACAAGCCUUUGACCAGAAAAUCUCAAACUAUCAGGCUCAAAUGGCUGAACUCGCCAAGAAAAUUGCUGAAGUCGAGAAACAAAAAGCCUCAUUAGAUUCAACUGAGACCCUGCCGGCUCAAGAUGUUAUUGAUUAGGAAGUUUUUAAAGGAAUUUCACAUGGUGAGAAGGCCUUUGAGAUUAAAGAAAGUAUUGACCAACUGCAGGAGAAGAGGGACCUCCUCGACAACAGGAUUGAUCAUGAGAAGACUCUUUUUGAAGACUUUAAGUCUAGAUUUCCUGCCUAAUGUAUUUCUCUGUCGAGACUAUGUAACUCCGCUUGGAGAUUCUGAAUGCCAUCUUGGCUUUUUCCAUUUUAGCUUUGAUCAUUAAUGACAAGUUUUAUUACCUUUUGAUUUGAAUCUCUUGGAGCAUAGGUUUAUAUUUUUUCAAAUAUUUCCCAUUUACCCUUAAGAUUUGUCGACCAAUACCCAACUCUUGAAUUUCAUAGGCAUUAUUCGUAAACGUUUGGAUUACUUGAAAUGGUCCCUCCCGAUUUGGUGACUAUUUUCCUAAAGUUUGAUCUCUUUGAUCCAUAGGUAAGAUCACCUUCCAAAAGUAAUCAUUUAUUGCAAAAGUUUCUAUCUUGGCCUUUUUAUUAUAUGCUUUAGCCACACACACUUUUUGUCGUAACAACAUGUCUAUUGCAGCCAACCUUUCUUCGUCUAAAUAGGUCUUUUCGUCGAACAUCAGUCUCCAAUAUUAUUCUGACGGAUUAUCGUUUUUCCGCUACACUCUAACUGAUUAUAAACGGAUUUUUGCUGGCAACACGACAUCAUGCCCAAAUGUCAAACAGAAAGGCGUUGAAUUGGUUACCUCCUUUGGGGGUGUUCGACAAGCCCAUAGAAUUUGAUCUAAUGUUUUAUGCCAAUUCUUAGGUUUCUUGGAAACGUUUUUUUAUUAACCCGAUUAUCACUUUAUUGGUUUCCUCAACUUGGCCAUUUUCUUGGGCGUAGUAAGGUGUGGAAGUAACCAAAUUGAAUCCUAUUUCAGCAGCAAACUCUUGCAUCUUUUGACAAACAAAAACUGAACCUUGAUUUGUAGUAAAGAUUUCAGGAAUUCCAAACCUAUGCACAAUAUGUUUUUGAAUGAAUUCAAUCACAUCCUCUUGAUCCAUUUUUAUCAAAGGGAUAACUUCUAUCCAUUUUGUGAAAUAGUCUAUACCUACCAGGAUAAAUUUUUGUUGUUUCAACGAGGCUGGUCGAAUCUCACCGAUUACAUCUAACGCCCAACCUCGAAAGGGUCGGGGAUUGAUGAUUACAUGCAACUCGUUGACUGACACAUGUUGAAUGCUUGCAUGUAUCUGACAUUCUUGACACACUUUGGAAAAGUCAAUGCAGUCUUUUGACACACUUGGCCAGUAAAUACCUUGUCAAAAUAAUAACCAUUUCAUUUUAUGGCCGUCUUAGUGAGCUCCACAUAUUCCACUAUGUACCUCAGACAUUGCCAAGUAUGCUUCAGUAUCCCUAAGAGAAACACUCCUUCUAGAGUCUUUUUCAAUAACUCAUUUCACAGACAUACAUAACUUAACGCUCUAUACUUGAUUUUCUUGUUAGUGUUUCCGACUGGAUUUUCUAAGCACUCCAUGAUUAGUUUUCUCCAAUCUGAUUGUGACAAAUUGUCAAUGGCAAAAACUUUAUGUAUUUCAUAAUUUUCAAAUUUUCCAAAAAUUUUACUUGACAUCUCCCCCCCAUUUUUUAGGAUUGCCAUUUUGGGUGACGACGAGACAUUCGACGUCAUCUUUUCUUUCACCUUCAUAAAGUCAUUGAGCCUAUCUUUUGACAAUUUAUACCCAGAUGCAAUUUGUGCUAAAUCGUUAGCUUCUUGAUUCUUUAUUCUAGGCACAUGUGUGAUGCUGACAACCUUGAAGUACUCUAAUAGGCGUUUCUCCAUUGCGAAAUACAACAUUAGAUUUUAUUUAAUGCACUUAUAUUCUCGUUGGAUUUGUUUGAUCACUAGCUCAAAAUCACCCUUUAUCUCGACCUUCUUGGCUUCUAAAUCCCUCAAGAUUUUAAGGCCAGUGAUUAGGGAUUCGUAUUCUGCCUCAUUAUUGGAACAAUUUACGUCGACUUUACAUUUGAACUUCGUCAGAAUACCUUGUAGGGAUAAUAUUAAGAUCCCAACAUCUGUUUCGUUUUUGCGACUUGACCCGUCGAAGUAUAACCUCCAUGGGUUCGUGUCGACCAUGUUUAGUGAUGGUUCGACUAUUGCAUGGUCUACAAUAAAAUCUGCCAAUAUUUGGCCUUUCAUAGACCUCAAAGGCAUAUAUGUUAAAGAAAAUUCAGUUAAUGCUAGUGCCCAUUUCCCAAUUCGACUAUGUAGAAUAGGUUUAGACAACAUAUGUUUAAUAACAUCAAAAUGAGACGAAGCAUAAACAUCAACUGGUUUUAUAUAUUGCUUUAAUUUUAUACAUUAGAAGUACAAUCAUAUGCAUAUUUUUUCAAUCAUAUUGUACCUAGUUUCAACAUCUAUUAAAAUUCGACUGAGGUAAUAAAUGGGUCUUUCGACACCACUGUCAUCCUCUUGUGCUAAGAUACUUCCUAUGGUUGUAUCUGACGCAGCAAUAUAUAACCUCAUAUUCUUAUUCAUACUAGGUGGAAAUAAAAUGAGAGGCUUUGUGAGGUACUCUUUGAUGGCGUUGAAAGCCUCUUGUUGCUCUCGUUUCUAGUGAAAAUCACUUUCCUUCUUGAUCUUGAGCAAUGGCGAGAAAACCUUUGUCUUGCCACUUAGAUUUGAUAUAAAUAUUCUCAAGAAAUUUAUCUUUCCUAACAAAGACCGGAGCUGCUUCUUUGUCGAAUGAGUCUAGAGAUCCAAAAUUGCUUUUAUUUUGUUUUGGUUGAUCUCGAUGCCUUUUUGUUGCACCAAGAAACCCAAGAAGUCUCCUGCAUGUACACCAAAAGCACAUUUUAAUGGAUUCAUUUUUAAUCCAUAUUUUCUCAUCCUCUCAAAUGAGCGUCGAAGAUGGUCCAAAUGACCAUUUUCAGAUGAAUACUUUAUCACAAUAUCAUCAAUUUAUACCUGCAUAAUAUUUUCAAUAAAAUCAUGGAAUAUGGCAUUCAUGGCUCUAUGAUAGGUUGCUCUGGUGUUUUUUUAAACCAAACAGCAUCACAACCCUUUUGUAUGUUCCCAAAGCUCUGGGGCAUCGAAAUGCCAUCUUGAGAACAUCAUUUUCUGCUAUGAGAAUCUUAUUAUAGCCAGAAUAACCAUCAAGCAUACUUAAGUAUUCAAAACCUGUGGCUGAAUCGACUAAGAUUUCUCUGGCCACUGGGAUCGAAUACUAAUAUUUUGGAGUUGCAUUGUUUAAGUCUCUAAAAUCUAUACAGACUCUAAGUGUUCCAUUUUUCUUGAUAACAGGUACUAUGUUGGCUAACCAUUUGACGUACCUUGCAGUUCUGAUGAACCUGUUGUAGCAGUAAAUUCAUGACCAUUAAGCUAUGGAUAAACUUAACGUCAAUAAAACCAGAGUCACCACCGCGCUUUUAUUGUUUCCAAAGGAAAAGGGAAAAGUACGAACAAAACCCAAAGAUAAGAAGUUUUAAAAUCAAAACUAAUAAAAUGCGAGAGAUUACAGGUAAGGGGGUUGGUUACACAGAGGGAAGGUGUUAGCACCCAAAGUGUCCUAGGUACUCCUAGGGAGCCCUUUUUAAUGUGUGCAUGUAUUUUGGUAUAAAAGAUAUUUGAAGAGUGCGUGGAUGAUAAAAGAAUUCAUUGAUUAUAUUUUUAUGUUUGACAAGACCUUCGGACUUGUGCCUACGUACCAACAUAAAAAUGAGGGAUCAAAACCUCAUAGUUCGUGGUAUCAAUUUGAAAAUGAGUGAAUUGCUUUUAACAAAAUUUUAAUAGAAAGGGGGCACAAAGGGCCAAAAAUUUGAAUGAGUGUUAUUUCUUUUUGUCUUUUGAAAUUUUAAUUCAAUAUGAUUAGAUUUAUUUAUAGGUUUAAUUUAAGAAAAGGUUUGAAAAUUCAUUGGCAUAAGGUCAAAGUUUCUAAUCAUUUAAACAGAGUCUAAGUUUGAAAUCACAAGUAAAGAAAGUUUUUUAAAAGGGGGAGAUAUUUUGAAAUUUAAGAAGUGGGAGAAGAUGAAGAGGCUAACGUAAGCAUAAAAUUAAAAGUUAAGAGUUGAAAAGAUCUGACCAAUGGGAUGCAAUCCAACAGACAAGAAUGCUAUAUAGAAAAUGCAUUUUCCCUUUGGACUUUGAAUCAAGCAAUAAUCAAUCAAGAAAUUAGCAAUAUCAGACACCAUGGAGAUCAAGGCAUCAAAUAAAGACAGCCACAUCCAAGCAAGAAAAUCCCAUAGCUAGUAGUCUUCUUUGUCUUCUCAUGUAUCAGAUGAAAUACUCCUUGAUUAACUCAGAAUAAGGCAUUAGACACAAGAUCAAAAUAACAGUUGCAUCAAGACCAUGUAGCAGAUGAGUUCAAAUAAAUCCCAAUACUUGCACCAGAUAAAGGCCCAAUUCACAAUAACUUGGUCUCAAAAUGUUGGCAUUGGCCAAGUCCUUUGCAUAUGGAAUGCUGCCUAAUCCUAAGUCCAAAAGUUCAAAUCAAGCUCAACAGUCCACUCAAACAUUUUUUAGGGUUUUUGUUUUUUAUUAGGUAAUUUAAGGUCCUAAGACCAUAAAAAGAAUCAAAAUACACAAGUAAAUAUAUACAAUCACAAUAUAUGGCUCAAAUGAGCAAAGUGAAAAUGACAUAAACAUAAACAAGUUAAAUGAAAUGGAAAUGGCAAUGAAUGGUAAAUGACUUAGAAGUUAAAUUACAUAAAGUAAAUGACUUGAAAGUAAAAGCAGUAUUAAUAAGAGUUAGUCAAAUGUUAGUCAAGGUUAAUUGAAUGUUAGUGAUAUUUUGUUUUUCAAUUGAUUAAGUCAUUCUUUGGAGAAUACUCAACCAUCUAUUCACAAGUAUGGAUCCUUGAACUAAGACAUCUUCCAUAGGAAAGAAAAAAGGCCAAGUUUCUGCACAAUACCAUGAAAGAUGGGAAACUGACAAUCUCACUUACUAGAAUGAUAUGCCUUUAGGGUCAAAAUUUAGCUUUAUGUUAAGCAAUCAUAAUUGGACUUAUGUAGAAGUCACAACCAUCUGAGGUCGGGCAAUAAAAAUUUAGGUGUUAAUGCAUGUUAGAGAUUUGAUAUAAUGGACCACACUCCUAAAACAUACCACACACUAAAAGAAAAGAUCAAAAGAAAUGGACCUAUCUCAUCCAUAUUUGUAUUGGUUUAUCUGACACAAGGUCACUGAUGAACCAAUUAGCCUUAAGAUAUUGAGACUUCAUUGUUCUAUGAAAGGGAUGGGAAAAGAAUAGGGGUGAAGAAUGAAGGGGGGGGGGGAGAGGGGGUGAGAGAAACAAAAAUUGGUCAUGGGAGGAAUUUUACCAAAUUAAAAUCAUUCUUUCAUUUUGGGAGAUGAAAUAUAUAUUUCAUCAAUCCCCUAAAUCCAAUGAUUUUAAUCUAAUAAAAAUCAAAUCAAUCUUGACCAAGGCCCUAACAAAUAGUCAAACAUCACAAGACCAUAAAAAUGACUCAACAUAAUUUUUACACAAUUAAUCAAUUAAAAAAUCAAAUUAAAAUGCAUUAAAAUACAAAUUUGUUUGGUCAAAACCUAAAACCUCUUCAAAACACCAAAUAAAUGGCCAAGAGAUUUAUCAUAGGUCAAGCAAGGUCAAAGGACCUUAGACAAAAAAUUUCAUGAUUUUUAAAAAGUUAGAAGUAUUUUUAAACAAUUAAAAAUAUGCACAAAAACAUUUAAUUCAUGAAAAAUAUCAAAAUUAAUCCAAAAAAUUAUUUUAAUUCAGAAAAUGAAGAGAAAAAUAUUUAAAGAUUUUUGGCGAAAGUCCCAUAUUUUUUGGAUUAAAAAUGAAAUUAAUAUAAAUUAAACAAAAUAAAGGGAUUAAAUGAAAAAUCAGAAAAUAAAAAGAAAUUAAAAAAAACAAGGGCCAUCAGAUCUCCCUCAUUAAUUGAGGUGGCAAAUCUGAUGGUCAAGCGCGCGCUUCCAUCCAACACCUCAGUCAAUGUGUGUACACACGUGGUAUGCAAAAGCAAGGGCUAAGAUUAAAACGUUGAACCAAUAUCAGAUGGUUGGAACCUUGCCAACACACCACCGGAGCCCUAGCUCCGGUCAUCUUCCCCGGUGAGGGCCACCAGACUGGUCCAACCUAAACUUCAUGAAAAAUGGAAAACAAGGACACUAAUUUGAAUUGAAAAUGCUCAGGAUCACAAAUCUAGCCUCAAUUUUCUCUAAUUCCAAGUAUAAAAUAAGAUACAUGGAUUUGAAUUUUGAGGAUCAUGAACUGAGUUGCUUCAAUUUGACCUCAAAGCAACUCAAUCUUCUUACCUAUAUUGGUAGGACUUCAGCCAACCAAAAAUCACAAAGAAUAGUGAAGAAUUGAGAGAGAAUCGAAGAGAUGAAGUUUCUGAAUUUUCACCUUCAAGUAGCUUCAAAUUUGCUUGAUCUUGAUUUGGAUUUGCUUGAUUCCUCUUCCUCUUGCUUGCAGUGACCAAUUUAGAUGGAAAGGGCAAUGCAAUCUUGAAGUUUGAAUUUCAAAACAAAAGGUGAAAUUCAAACUCGAUUUCAAUGAAAUCCUCAAAAAAUUUUAUGGAAUGAGGGGUCUGAGUUGUCUUGGCAAAGCUUGGGCAAGGUGCUCAUGCAUUUCUGAGCUCAUAGCACUUGUAUUUAUAGCCUUUUCAAAUGCUUUCCACACAAUUCCUUUAAAAAUCCAAAAAUAACAAUUACCUCAUGCAAGCUUGCAUGAACGUGUACAAAGCCUAAAGAAUGAUUGGAAUUGGUCCAAAAUCAUGCACAUGUGAUGCUGAAAGCAAUUCAUGAAUCCAUGCAAUGUAGAAUAGAAAUUGGUCAUGAGAAUCUUCCAAAUGGGACCAUUCAUUACACCCAUGCACAAGUCCUUCAGUUUUGAUCCAAAUGAGAUGAUCUUGGACUUUUUGGAAAGGUGAGACUAAGGGGGACAACUUUCAUGUUGAAAACUUUUCCAUUUGAAGCAUAGAUAAUGAUGCAUUCUAAGAUGGAUGUUUGGAAAAUCAAACAUACUUGAAAAUUUUCUAAGUACCAAGUCAAAUGUUCACUUCUUCCACCUUGAAUAACUUUUGCUAUAGAUUUCAAAUGGAAAAAUUUCCUUCAUAGAAGUUGUAUCUAUAUCAAACCUCUUCAAUUUGGUCACAAAUUUGACCUCAUUUGAAUUUGGCAUGAAGGAGUUAUGCAUUUUAGAAGUUGGGGAAAAUCACUUGUUUAAUGGUAAUGACCCAAAAUGACCUAUAAUGUUUCCUCUUGGCACAUGAAUUUUAAAGUUUAAUUUGAACUUAUUCCACACAUAAACAUUGAAUAUGACAUCUUGAAUUUGAUCAUGGAGCUUGAAUGGCUUUCAUAUCAUAAAAAGGAGCAAGUUAUGGU